Gordonia terrae NBRC 100016 is the source of this 86-nucleotide non-coding RNA. NCBI's taxonomy places the organism in Bacteria, Bacillati, Actinomycetota, Actinomycetes, Mycobacteriales, Gordoniaceae. The record is from Rfam.
AUCGGUCCUCGGUAGUGGCCGCCGGAAACCUCGCCCGGGCAAUCCCCGGGCGCGCAGGAUUCCGGCCGCUUCGAUCGAAGGCCGUC